Molecule: long non-coding RNA, 324 nt
Organism: Perognathus longimembris pacificus (Pacific pocket mouse)
Lineage: Eukaryota; Metazoa; Chordata; Mammalia; Rodentia; Heteromyidae
Exons: 3
Source: RefSeq, a predicted model, not a curated record
AGGAUUACAGGCAUGAGCCACCACACCUGCAGUUGAUGUAUUUCAUUGUAUGCCAGUGAACAUCUUAUUGAUUUGACCUUUAUAUUAUUAUUACUAUUAUCUUCAAAUAGUUGUACAAGAAUUUCAAUUUCAUAUGUCCAUUUGUAUGUCCAGUGCACCUGGAUCAGAGUCAUUCCUUCCAUGUUUCUCCCUUGCCCUUAUCUGUCCCAUCUCUACCUGUCUCCUCAGGUUUCCUCGGUCCAUUUUCACUUACGUGCAUGGAGUACUAAGACUAUUUGUAAAAACACGAAACAUUUCAUGGAUGUGCAUUGGCAUCCUGACACA